Sapajus apella (tufted capuchin) is the source of this 154-nucleotide long non-coding RNA. RefSeq lists it as uncharacterized. The transcript has 2 exons. The record is from RefSeq and is a predicted model, not a curated record. Lineage: Eukaryota; Metazoa; Chordata; Mammalia; Primates; Cebidae.
GACAGAGCCCCACUAAUUAUUUUUUAAAAGGUUACUACUUAAAAACUACUAAUUUGGGUAGAUGUCCUUCAAGUUUUAAGUUGCCUCCGUUACUAUUUGCUCUUACUAGAUCAACAAAGUUCUUUUCUGAAAGGUGUCUAAGAUUGGACAGAGU